RNAcentral lists this non-coding RNA (23 nucleotides) under Cricetulus griseus (Chinese hamster). Lineage: Eukaryota; Metazoa; Chordata; Mammalia; Rodentia; Cricetidae. The record is from RNAcentral.
ACUUGUGCUGUAUAAACUGUAUU